UACGGGGGGGGCAAGCGUUGUUCGGAAUUACUGGGCGUAAAGGGCGCGUAGGCGGCUUUUCAAGUCGGGCGUGAAAUCUCCGGGCUUAACCCGGAAGGGUCGUUCGAUACUGUUGAGCUAGAGUGUGGAAGAGGCAACUAGAAUUCCGUGUGUAGCGGUGAAAUGCGUAGAUAUACGGAGGAAUACCUGAGGCGAAGGCGGGUUGCUGGGCCAACACUGACGCUGAGGCGCGAAAGCCAGGGGAGCAAACAGG
This 253-nucleotide ribosomal RNA is filed under the name uncultured bacterium. RNAcentral's name for it is "partial 16S ribosomal RNA". It matches the Rfam family "Bacterial small subunit ribosomal RNA", at positions 524 to 776 of the family's 1533-position model. The record is from RNAcentral.